RNAcentral lists this ribosomal RNA (432 nucleotides) under uncultured bacterium. RNAcentral's name for it is "partial 16S ribosomal RNA". It matches the Rfam family "Bacterial small subunit ribosomal RNA", at positions 29 to 507 of the family's 1533-position model. The record is from RNAcentral.
GCGAACGCUGGCGGCAGGCCUAACACAUGCAAGUCGAACGAACUCUUCGGAGUUAGUGGCGGACGGGUGAGUAACACGUGGGAACGUGCCUUUAGGUUCGGAAUAACUCAGGGAAACUUGUGCUAAUACCGAAUGUGCCCUUCGGGGGAAAGAUUUAUCGCCUUUAGAGCGGCCCGCGUCUGAUUAGCUAGUUGGUGAGGUAAAGGCUCACCAAGGCGACGAUCAGUAGCUGGUCUGAGAGGAUGAUCAGCCACAUUGGGACUGAGACACGGCCCAAACUCCUACGGGAGGCAGCAGUGGGGAAUCGUGCGCAAUGGGCGAAAGCCUGACGCAGCCAUGCCGCGUGAAUGAUGAAGGUCUUAGGAUUGUAAAAUUCUUUCACCGGGGACGAUAAUGACGGUACCCGGAGAAGAAGCCCCGGCUAACUUCGUG